GAGGAAUAUUGCGCAAUGGAGGCAACUCUGACGCAGCCAUGCCGCGUGCAGGAAGAAGGCGCUACGCGUUGUAAACUGCUUUUAACCGGGAAGAAACCCCAGGACGUGUCCUGGGUUGACGGUACCGGAGGAAUGAGCACCGGCUAACUUCGUGCCAGCAGCCGCGGUAAUACGAAGGGUGCAAGCGUUAUCCGGAUUCAUUGGGUUUAAAGGGUGCGUAGGCGGGGUGGUAAGUCAGUGGUGAAAUCCUGCGGCUCAACCGUAGAAUUGCCAUUGAUACUGCCAUUCUUGAGUAGGCUCGACGUGGGCGGAAUGUGCCGUGUAGCGGUGAAAUGCUUAGAUAUGGCACAGAACACCGAUAGUGAAGACAGCUCACGAGGGCCAAACUGACGCUGAGGCACGAAAGCGUGGGGAUCGAAC
Molecule: ribosomal RNA, 420 nt
Filed under: uncultured bacterium
Lineage: Bacteria
Description: bacterial SSU rRNA
Rfam family: Bacterial small subunit ribosomal RNA
Source: RNAcentral